UGGGGGAUAUUGCACAAUGGGCGAAAGCCUGAUGCAGCGACGCCGCGUGGGGGAUGAAGGCUUUCGGGUUGUAAACCUCUUUCGCUAUCGAACAAGGCCCGCUUAGGGUGGGUUGAGGGUAGGUGGAGAAGAAGCGCCGGCUAACUACGUGCCAGCAGCCGCGGUAAUACGUAGGGCGCGAGCGUUGUCCGGAAUUAUUGGGCGUAAAGGGCUUGUAGGCGGCUUGUUGCGCCUGCUGUGAAAACGCGGGGCUUAACUUCGCGCGUGCAGUGGGUACGGGCAGGCUUGAGUGUGGUAGGGGUGACUGGAAUUCCAGGUGUAGCGGUGGAAUGCGCAGAUAUCUGGGGGAACACCGAUGGCGAAGGCAGGUCACUGGGCCAUUACUGACGCUGAGGAGCGAAAGAAUGGGUAGCGAACAGG
Molecule: ribosomal RNA, 420 nt
Filed under: bacterium
Lineage: Bacteria
Description: partial 16S ribosomal RNA
Rfam family: Bacterial small subunit ribosomal RNA
Source: RNAcentral